RNAcentral lists this transfer RNA (66 nucleotides) under Melo melo. Its description in RNAcentral is "tRNA-Gln". The record is from RNAcentral. Lineage: Eukaryota; Metazoa; Mollusca; Gastropoda; Neogastropoda; Volutidae.
UACAAAGCGGUGUAAGGGCACAAAGAAUUUUGAUUUCUUUAGAGAGGAUCAUCAUCCUCCUGGUAA